ACUUAAAUUGAAGAGUUUGAUCAUGGCUCAGAUUGAACGCUGGCGGCAGGCCUAACACAUGCAAGUCGAACGGUAACAGGAAGCAGCUUGCUGCUUCGCUGACGAGUGGCGGACGGGUGAGUAAUGUCUGGGAAACUGCCUGAUGGAGGGGGAUAACUACUGGAAACGGUGGCUAAUACCGCAUAACGUCGCAAGACCAAAGAGGGGGACCUUCGGGCCUCUUG
RNAcentral lists this ribosomal RNA (224 nucleotides) under Salmonella enterica. RNAcentral's name for it is "partial 16S ribosomal RNA". It matches the Rfam family "Bacterial small subunit ribosomal RNA", at positions 1 to 217 of the family's 1533-position model. Lineage: Bacteria; Pseudomonadati; Pseudomonadota; Gammaproteobacteria; Enterobacterales; Enterobacteriaceae. The record is from RNAcentral.